Molecule: ribosomal RNA, 463 nt
Filed under: uncultured bacterium
Lineage: Bacteria
Description: partial 16S ribosomal RNA
Rfam family: Bacterial small subunit ribosomal RNA
Source: RNAcentral
GAUGAACGCUGACAGAAUGCUUAACACAUGCAAGUCGAUGGGGAAGUGGUGCUUGCACCAUGGCAACCAUGGCGGACGGGUGAGUAACGCGUAAGGGACUUACCUGCAGGACUGGGAUAACAGGGGGAAACUCCUGACAAGACCGGAUAAUGUCAUGGAGCUGCAUGGCUUUAUGAUGAAAGGAGACGCCUGCGGAGAGCCUUGCGUCCUAUUAGCUAGUUGGUGAGGUAAUGGCUCACCAAGGCGAAGAUAGGUAGCCGGCCUGAGAGGGUGGACGGCCACAAGGGGACUGAGAUACGGCCCUUACUCCUACGGGAGGCAGCAGUGGGGAAUAUUGGACAAUGGGGGCAACCCUGAUCCAGCAAUUCUGUGUGCACGAAGAAGGUUUUCGGAUUGUAAAGUGCUUUCAGCAGGGAAGAAGUAAGUGACGGCACCUGCAGAAGAAGCGACGGCUAAAUACGUG